AACUUUUAGCAACGGAUCACUUGGUUCUGGCAUCGAUGAAGAACGCAGCGAAAUGCGAUAAGUAGUGUGAAUUGCAGAAUUCAGUGAAUCAUCGAAUCUUUGAACGCACAUUGCGCCCCUUGGUAUCCCGAGGGGCAUGCCUGUUCGAGCGUCAUUUCACCACUCAAGCCUGGCUUGGUGUUGGGCGACGUCCCCUUUGGGGACGCGCCUCGAAACGCUCGGCGGCGUGGCACCGGCUUUAAGCGUAGCAGAAUCUUUCGCUUUGGAAGUCGGGGCCCCGUCUGCCGGAAGACCUACUCGCAAGGUUGACCUCAAAUCAGGUAGGACUACCCGCUGAACUUAAGCAUAUCAAUAAGCGGAGGCU
RNAcentral lists this unclassified non-coding RNA (364 nucleotides) under uncultured Cenococcum. Its description in RNAcentral is "sequence contains ITS2". The stretch from base 1 to 154 matches the Rfam family "5.8S ribosomal RNA". The record is from RNAcentral. Lineage: Eukaryota; Fungi; Ascomycota; Dothideomycetes; Gloniales; Gloniaceae.